This 80-nucleotide transfer RNA is filed under the name Listeria monocytogenes. RNAcentral's name for it is "tRNA-OTHER". The record is from RNAcentral. Lineage: Bacteria; Bacillati; Bacillota; Bacilli; Caryophanales; Listeriaceae.
GGGCCUAUAAGCUCAGCUGGUUAGAGCGCACGCGCCUGAUAAGCGUGGAGGUCCGAUGGUUUCCGAGUCAUUUAGGCCCA